AAAAUUAUGAAAUUUCGAGUACGCAUUUCCACUAGCUGAUUAACGGGUAUCUGAUAGUUGGCGGGGGACUCGACUAUACAUUCGUUCUUGCUUUCGUUUCAUUUGUAUACCCUUGUUAUUCCUCGUAGACAGAAAAGUGUAUUCUAGUUUCGAUAAAAAGCAUGUAACAGAUAAAUGGAUGCUUUUCCGACCAACAGGAUCAAUAGCUUAGUCGAUCCGACCAUGUCAAACCGUAUGAACGUUGAGAUCUGAGGAAUGCUGCACAAGUUUGUAUAUUGAUGUUGCCUCGCCCACUUGCGUAAAGACGGAGAGGCAUGACCAAAGAGACAUGGCUGGACCAAUAUUACUACUGUGAGGACGCACCGUGAACUAACAGGACGUUUGUGGACCUUAGACCCGAGCAGACAAGUCGUCAUGGGGAGGACUCAAGGGCAGCCAGGUCAAACGAGAAAUAAUGGACCUUGAACCCCUGCAAAGCGGAGAGACCGUGAACUAACGGUACCGUGUAGUUGAUCACUGCAAGUGACGGAGCAGAGCAUCGCGGAGAUCCUCUCAGCGAGGAUACGGCGCCUUAUUAUCUUCGAAAGUUCUUAGUUGUCCGAUUCUUCGACAAGAAGAUUUUAUUAACAGAGAGAGAGAACGGCUUAAUGGCGCACUGCCAAGCCUGGGUUAGUUGUGAAUGCCAUGUUCCGAGUUAAAGAUGAAAACUAACCGCCAUAGAAGUGGACGUUAGCGAGAGUCGUUGAGCUGCUGCCUGAAAGAGAUGGAGUCGCCCGAGUUGCUGAGGCUGAGGACAACUACAAGAUUGACGAAGCGGGCCGUGAAGAAGCUGUGUCUGAUACCCCUUAAGGACGCUGUUGAUGAUGUGGGGUCACGCAGACGCCACCAGCACCUUAACCUAUGUCUAUAUUUAUGGCCAACAUUGGAGACACAAUUAUUCUGCGGCAGAUGCAGAUUAGCUGCGUGAGCAUAUAAGCUCUCCUCUCUCGAACUCUCUCUUGUACUCCCUUGCACCUACAUCUUUGGCUUAGCGUUCUGCUGUUCUCAAUGCAAUUAUUCGUUUCUCGCUGUCGUAACCUAUGCACGCGCAUUACUGCGAAACAUCGUCGGAAUUCGCUUCAAAACUAAAGUCAAACGGUACCGAGCUGGACCUUGGACCCCGACAAAGCAGAGAGACCGUGAACUAACGGUAACGCGCUGGAACUGGGAUUCGAGCCGGCCAAGGGCACAGUGGUCGAACGCUAACGGUGGAAAUGCACAAAGAGGACACACCGUGAACUAACGGUACAUGGACCUUGUGACCGAGAGCGCCGUGCGCAAAAGGGGAAAUAACGGGAUCCUUGCGGCCUAUAAAGGGACGGCGUAAGUGCAGCCCGCGGCAGUCAGUCACAACACACGAGGAAAGUCGCUACUGCGGUAGCGCGGUCGCACAGUCGGAACGGAGUCUGAAGGUGGAGGCGUAGAUUCAGCCAACCAGACCGCGCGUGAACGCGCGGUUAAGUAACGAAAGAAUAAACAGUGGAAGCGUCGGGCAGAAAAAGGCCCGCAGGAAGUGAAGAACGAGCACUGCAAGUGAAGAGUAAUCCUGGGAGUGGAGGAGAAGAUUCUGGCAUGUCUGAAAGGGUCAGUGGAGUCAAUGGUCAGCACAGGUUGUCCCAGGCCGAGAGUUGCCUCGCCCGUGGACGAUACACCCUGCCCCAUAACAUCCUAAUCCCGGCCGGGCCCAGUACAACGAAGGCAAGGCGUUACAGGAGAAACGCCGCAGGAGCAGCGAGAUCACCGAAGAAGUCACUGAUAAAACAGUAGAAUAAAUCGAUUAUAAUAAGAA
This is a long non-coding RNA of Drosophila sechellia, 1828 nucleotides long. RefSeq lists it as uncharacterized. The transcript is spliced from 4 exons. NCBI's taxonomy places the organism in Eukaryota, Metazoa, Arthropoda, Insecta, Diptera, Drosophilidae. The record is from RefSeq and is a predicted model, not a curated record.